GGCUCCGUAGCUUAGUGAAUAGAGCGCAAGAUUCCGGUUCUUGAGGUCGUGGGUUUGAGUCCCACCGGGGUCA
RNAcentral lists this transfer RNA (73 nucleotides) under Prevotellaceae bacterium. Its description in RNAcentral is "tRNA-Arg". It matches the Rfam family "tRNA". From Rfam's summary of the family: Transfer RNA (tRNA) molecules are approximately 80 nucleotides in length. The record is from RNAcentral. Lineage: Bacteria; Pseudomonadati; Bacteroidota; Bacteroidia; Bacteroidales; Prevotellaceae.